Molecule: ribosomal RNA, 464 nt
Filed under: uncultured bacterium
Lineage: Bacteria
Description: bacterial SSU rRNA
Rfam family: Bacterial small subunit ribosomal RNA
Source: RNAcentral
CCUANGGGUGGCAGCAGUCGAGGAUUUUUCUCAAUGGGGGAAACCCUGAAGGAGCGACGCCGCGUGAGGGAUGAAGGUCUUCGGAUUGUAAACCUCUGUCAUCUGGGAACAAUGCUAGUCACCUAACACGUGCCUAGUUGAUAGUACCGGAAGAGGAAGCAGUGGCUAACUCUGUGCCAGCAGCCGCGGUAAUACAGAGACUGCAAGCGUUGUUCGGAUUCAUUGGGCGUAAAGGGUGCGCAGGCGGUGCGUUAAGUCGGAUGUGAAAUCUCACAGCCUAACUGUGAUAGGUCAUUCGAAACUGACGUGCUAGAGGACUGGAGAGGAGACUGGAAUGGUCGGUGUAGCGGUGAAAUGCGUAGAGAUCGACCAGAACACCGGUGGCGAAGGCGGGUCUCUGGACAGUUCCUGACGCUCAGGCACGAAAGCCAGGGGAGCAAACGGGAUUAGAUACCCGGNUANUC